RNAcentral lists this ribosomal RNA (253 nucleotides) under uncultured bacterium. RNAcentral's name for it is "partial 16S ribosomal RNA". It matches the Rfam family "Bacterial small subunit ribosomal RNA", at positions 524 to 776 of the family's 1533-position model. The record is from RNAcentral.
UACGUAGGCAGCAAGCGUUGUUCGGAAUUACUGGGCGUAAAGAGUGUGUAGGCGGUGCUCUAAGUCUGUUGUGAAAUCUCCCGGCUUAACUGGGAGGGUGCGGCGGAAACUGGAGUGCUCGAGGGUGGGAGAGGUAAGCGGAAUUCCUGGUGUAGCGGUGAAAUGCGUAGAUAUCAGGAGGAACACCUGUGGUGUAGGCAGCUUACUGGACCACUUCUGACGCUGAGACACGAAAGCGUGGGUAGCAAACAGG